GGAGAGAUGGGUGAGUGGCUGAAACCAACAGUUUGCUAAACUGUCGAACUGCGUAAGUGGUUCCCCGGGUUCGAAUCCCGGUCCCUCCG
RNAcentral lists this transfer RNA (89 nucleotides) under Chitinophagales bacterium. Its description in RNAcentral is "tRNA-Ser". It matches the Rfam family "tRNA". Rfam says of the family: Transfer RNA (tRNA) molecules are approximately 80 nucleotides in length. Their secondary structure includes four short double-helical elements and three loops (D, anti-codon, and T loops). Lineage: Bacteria; Pseudomonadati; Bacteroidota; Chitinophagia; Chitinophagales. The record is from RNAcentral.